UACGUAGGAGGCAAGCGUUGUCCGGAAUUACUGGGCGUAAAGCGCGUGUAGGUGGUGGGACAAGUCUGCUGUGAAAGCGCCUGGCUUAACCGGGCGAGGUCGGCGGAAACUGUCCGACUAGAGGACGGUAGAGGGGGGUGGAAUUCCCGGUGUAGUGGUGAAAUGCGUAGAGAUCCGGAGGAACACCAGUGGCGAAAGCGGCCACCUGGACUGCACCUGACGCUGAAACGCGAAAGCUAGGGGAGCGAACGGG
Molecule: ribosomal RNA, 253 nt
Filed under: uncultured bacterium
Lineage: Bacteria
Description: partial 16S ribosomal RNA
Rfam family: Bacterial small subunit ribosomal RNA
Source: RNAcentral